Molecule: transfer RNA, 61 nt
Filed under: Neoalcathous huangshanana
Lineage: Eukaryota; Metazoa; Arthropoda; Insecta; Hemiptera; Fulgoridae
Description: tRNA-Pro
Source: RNAcentral
CAGUAAGUAUUUUAAUAAAAAUAUUAGUUUUGGAUACUAAAGAUGAUCUUUUCCUUACUGA